Molecule: ribosomal RNA, 497 nt
Filed under: uncultured bacterium
Lineage: Bacteria
Description: partial 16S ribosomal RNA
Rfam family: Bacterial small subunit ribosomal RNA
Source: RNAcentral
GAUGAACGCUGGCGGCGUGCCUAAUACAUGCAAGUCGAGCGAACGGACGAGAAGCUUGCUUCUCUGAUGUUAGCGGCGGACGGGUGAGUAACACGUGGAUAACCUACCUAUAAGACUGGGAUAACUUCGGGAAACCGUAGCUAAUACCGGAUAAUAUUUUGAACCGCAUGGUUCAAAAGUGAAAGACGGUCUUGCUGUCCCUUAUAGAUGGAUCCGCGCUGCAUUAGUUAGUUGGUAAGGUAACGGCUUACCAAGGCAACGAUGCAUAGCCGACCUGAGAGGGUGAUCGGCCACACUGGAACUGAGACACGGUCCAGACUCCUACGGGAGGCAGCAGUAGGGAAUCUUCCGCAAUGGGCGAAAGCCUGACGGAGCAACGCCGCGUGAGUGAUGAAGGUCUUCGGAUCGUAAAACUCUGUUAUUAGGGAAGAACAUAUGUGUAAGUAACUGUGCACAUCUUGACGGUACCUAAUCAGAAAGCCACGGCUAACUACGUG